GUCAAGGAGGUGGGGAGGAGGACUGAGACAUACAGAGACACGCAGGCCAGAGAUCAGUUCCCGCCAAGGCUGUGGUGGGGGAGGGGAGAUCGGCCUUGCAAGCUUUCCUCGGGAGUGAGCAAAAAUAGGAUUGUGUCUGUGCAGGGAGGAGUUCCCGAGGAAACGGCACAGGAGCGGCAAAUGCAGAGAGGAUGCAGACUCUGAAGAGGGAUCGCUCAGCAACAAAGGAGCCAGAAAAGGCAAGUUAUACACACCGUGUGCCACAGAGGCGAGCCUGCAAGUGUGCAGAUGAGGAAACUGAGGCUUGGAGAGGCUCUCUGCCUUUGUCAACCUGGAGAUGCUGGGAAGGAAUUGAGGCCCAUCCCACCUCAGAUGCCCAUCCUCUGUCGUCAGGAGUGUUCUCUGGUUCUUCAGGGCUUGGCCAUGUGGUUGUAAACCCCACAUGUGGUUCUGUGGUUGCCCACACAGUCCUAAAAAUAGCCAACAGGAACCCAGGGGCUCCCCCUUGGUGAGUGGCAGCAGACCCG
This 527-nucleotide long non-coding RNA is filed under the name Aotus nancymaae (Ma's night monkey). RNAcentral describes it as "lncRNA (ENSANAG00000038654.1)". Lineage: Eukaryota; Metazoa; Chordata; Mammalia; Primates; Aotidae. The record is from RNAcentral.